RNAcentral lists this ribosomal RNA (933 nucleotides) under Triticum aestivum (bread wheat). RNAcentral describes it as "partial small subunit ribosomal RNA". Lineage: Eukaryota; Viridiplantae; Streptophyta; Magnoliopsida; Poales; Poaceae. The record is from RNAcentral.
AUGGCCGUAGCCGGCCGAGCUCGAAGCUCCUGCCGAUGCACCUCGUCACGUCUCUGCUGCCUCCUCGCAGCCGGCCAUCCUCGCCGCCGCCCGGGGUUCCCCUGCACCUCAAGCCUGACGCCCGACCUGCGACCUCCGCCACCUCGAUGUCCCUUGGCGCCCUGCCGGCCAAUCUGGCCCCGUCGUCCAGGAUCCUCCAUGGUGCUACCUUGCUGCUUCCUCCAGCGCCCAAGUCCACCUUGCCGCUUCCGCCGUCCUCACGCCCCUACUUCUUCCAUGGCGAUGUUGCCAUCCAUGGCAGCUCUGCCGCUGUCGCCUUACCGCCGCCAUCCAGCGCAACACCUGCAGGAGAUGGCCAGAGCCUCGAUCCCCUGCUCCUCUGCUUCGGGUCCUAGUGUCCUGCGGCCAUCGCCCCUGCAUCAUGCCAAGUACAUGCACCGUUCCCUGAACCGCCAAGGAAGACCACCGAACAGGGAUUCGCCAAGUACCAGGUCAACGGAGACCGCCAAGUUCGUUUCCGCCGCCUUCGAAAUCGACAAGUACCACGACAACCUCGAAGGGAUUCAACUCCGUCAAGUUCCUCUAAUGAUGGCCCGAACGGCUACGAAACACGUACCACUACUGUCACUGAAGACCCGUGCAACGGAACCGUCAAGUUUGACUACCUUCGUGUGUACCUUUACUUCCCACGAUAACCAUGUACAACUCCCAUCCCAUGCAUCUCGCGAAGUACCUCUUCGAAACGACCGAGUACCACUACAGUCGACCCUCGAAGAACCCGCGGACGACAAGUUCCUCGGUGUGACCCCGAACACCUACGGAGUGUGUACAACUACGAAACGAGAACAACUACUUCCUCUACUUUGCACCGAACGGGAAUCGUCUCGUUUGCACGCUUCGAAGUUUGCAGGUGCCGUUGAGACGUGCAGGUGA